GGCCCCUUAGCUCAGUGGUUAGAGCAGUCGACUCAUAAUCGAUUGGUCCCAGUUCUUAUUUGGGGGUUCU
Molecule: transfer RNA, 70 nt
Filed under: Vibrio xuii
Lineage: Bacteria; Pseudomonadati; Pseudomonadota; Gammaproteobacteria; Vibrionales; Vibrionaceae
Description: tRNA-Met
Rfam family: tRNA (bases 8-64)
About the family: Transfer RNA (tRNA) molecules are approximately 80 nucleotides in length.
Source: RNAcentral